GGCCAGAUUGCUCAAUUGGUUGGAGCAUUGUCCUGUACACCAAAAGGUUUCAGGUUUGAUUCCUGGUCUGGGCA
This is a non-coding RNA of Myotis davidii, 74 nucleotides long. Lineage: Eukaryota; Metazoa; Chordata; Mammalia; Chiroptera; Vespertilionidae. The record is from Rfam.